AGGUUACUAACUGUUAGGUCCACC
RNAcentral lists this non-coding RNA (24 nucleotides) under Arabidopsis thaliana (thale cress). The record is from RNAcentral. Lineage: Eukaryota; Viridiplantae; Streptophyta; Magnoliopsida; Brassicales; Brassicaceae.